This 492-nucleotide ribosomal RNA is filed under the name uncultured bacterium. RNAcentral's name for it is "partial 16S ribosomal RNA". It matches the Rfam family "Bacterial small subunit ribosomal RNA", at positions 29 to 507 of the family's 1533-position model. The record is from RNAcentral.
AGUGAACGCUGGCGGUAGGCCUAACACAUGCAAGUCGAACGGCAGCACAGUAAGAGCUUGCUCUUACGGGUGGCGAGUGGCGGACGGGUGAGGAAUACAUCGGAAUCUACUUUUUCGUGGGGGAUAACGUAGGGAAACUUACGCUAAUACCGCAUACGACCUACGGGUGAAAGCAGGGGAUCUUCGGACCUUUCGCGAUUGAAUGAGCCGAUGUCGGAUUAGCUAGUUGGCUGGGUAAAGGCCCACCAAGGCGACGAUCCGUAGCUGGUCUGAGAGGAUGAUCAGCCACACUGGAACUGAGACACGGUCCAGACUCCUACGGGAGGCAGCAGUGGGGAAUAUUGGACAAUGGGCGAAAGCCUGAUCCAGCCAUACCGCGUGGGUGAAGAAGGCCUUCGGGUUGUAAAGCCCUUUUGUUGGGAAAGAAAAGCAGCAGGUUAAUACCCCGCUGUUCUGACGGUACCCAAAGAAUAAGCACCGGCUAACUUCGUG